Molecule: unclassified non-coding RNA, 518 nt
Filed under: Bombus terrestris (buff-tailed bumblebee)
Lineage: Eukaryota; Metazoa; Arthropoda; Insecta; Hymenoptera; Apidae
Description: misc RNA ENSBTSG00005025800.1
Source: RNAcentral
GAAACGUCGUCUUACGUACUCCUCGGUCGAGGGUCAAAUAUACUUAAAAUCGCGAGUGCUUCAGACGAUUUCAUAGAUGGAGGAAAUAAAACGUUUUUGUCAGAGACGCAUGGGAUACGCAAUGGACGUGGAUAAAGAUAGUUGGCGAACAUUUAUGCGAAUCUACGUUCUCGUAGACGCGAUUAGAGGAAUGGAACCCCAGAAGCAAUUUAUUUUAGACUAACAGAAGGAUUUAAUGGCCUUUGCGGUAUUACUUAGAGUUUAAUUGCAAGUGAGAGAAUCGAAUCGACGUAUACAGAGUGCCCCAAAUUUAAACGGGCAAACUGCGAGCAAUUAAUCUACGGACAAAAAGAAGAAAAAGAGAUAUAUAGAGUUCGUUAGCAGAGGCCUUGUUACAAAGUUACAAAUAAACAUUGUACGCGUGAAAUAAAUAACGAGACGUAUUUUCCAUCGCAGCACGCAAAAGUCGACUGUAUUAUUGUAUCGGCGUAGUUACAUGCUUUUUUCCUUUUUUCUCG